Molecule: ribosomal RNA, 464 nt
Filed under: uncultured bacterium
Lineage: Bacteria
Description: partial 16S ribosomal RNA
Rfam family: Bacterial small subunit ribosomal RNA
Source: RNAcentral
CCUACGUGAGGCAGCAGUGGGGAAUAUUGCGCAAUGGGCGAAAGCCUGACGCAGCGACGCCGCGUGAGGGAUGAAGGUCUUCGGAUCGUAAACCUCUGUCAGCAGGGAAGAACGGUCACUGUGCUAAUCAGCAGUGAAUUGACGGUACCUGCAAAGGAAGCACCGGCUAACUCCGUGCCAGCAGCCUCGGUAAUACGGAGGGUGCGAGCGUUAAUCGGAAUUACUGGGCGUAAAGCGCUCGUAGGCGGUAUGUCAAGUCAAGGGUGAAAUCCCCGCGCUCAACGUGGGAACUGCCUUUGAAGAUGGCAAACUGGAGUGUGUGAGAGGAUAGUGGAAUUCCGGGUGUAGGAGUGAAAUCCGUAGAUAUCUGGAGGAACAUCAGUGGCGAAGGCGACUAUCUGGCACAUAACUGACGCUGAGGAGCGAAAGCGUGGGUAGCAAACAGGAUUAGAUACCCUGUAGUC